CGGGGAGUGGCUCAGCCUGGUAGAGCACAGCGUUCGGGACGCUGGGGUCGCAAGUUCGAAUCUUGUCUCCCCGACCA
RNAcentral lists this transfer RNA (77 nucleotides) under Rickettsiales bacterium. Its description in RNAcentral is "tRNA-Pro". It matches the Rfam family "tRNA". Rfam says of the family: Transfer RNA (tRNA) molecules are approximately 80 nucleotides in length. Their secondary structure includes four short double-helical elements and three loops (D, anti-codon, and T loops). Further hydrogen bonds mediate the characteristic L-shaped molecular structure. tRNAs have two regions of fundamental functional importance: the anti-codon, which is responsible for specific mRNA codon recognition, and the 3' end, to which the tRNAs corresponding amino acid is attached (by aminoacyl-tRNA synthetases). tRNAs cope with the degeneracy of the genetic code in two manners: having more than one tRNA (with a specific anti-codon) for a particular amino acid; and 'wobble' base-pairing, i.e. permitting non-standard base-pairing at the 3rd anti-codon position. Lineage: Bacteria; Pseudomonadati; Pseudomonadota; Alphaproteobacteria; Rickettsiales. The record is from RNAcentral.